This 421-nucleotide ribosomal RNA is filed under the name uncultured bacterium. RNAcentral describes it as "partial 16S ribosomal RNA". It matches the Rfam family "Bacterial small subunit ribosomal RNA", at positions 360 to 773 of the family's 1533-position model. The record is from RNAcentral.
AACAUUGGACAAUGGGGGAAACCCUGAUCCAGCCAUGCCGCGUGUGUGAAGAAGGUCUUCGGAUUGUAAAGCACUUUAAGUUGGGAGGAAGGGUUGUUGGCUCAUAUACAGCAAUUUUGACGUUACCGACAGAAUAAGCACAGGCUAACUCUGUGACAGCAUCCGCGGUAAUACAGAGGGUGCAAGCGUUAAUCGGAAUUACUGGGCGUAAAGCGCGCGUAGGUGUUUCAGUAAGAUGGGUGUGAAAUCCCCGGGCUUAACCUGGGAUCUGCUUUCAUAACUGCUGAGCUAGAGUACGGUAGAGGGUAGUGGAAUUUCCUGUGUAGCGGUGAAAUGCGUAGAUAUAGGAAGGAACACCAGUGGCGAAGGCGACCACCUGGGCUAAUACUGACACUGAGGUGCGAAAGCGUGGGGAGCAAAC